ACGCUAGCUACAGGCUUAACACAUGCAAGUCGAGGGGAAACGGCAUUGAGUGCUUGCACUCUUUGGACGUCGACCGGCGCACGGGUGAGUAACGCGUAUCCAACCUUCCCAUUACUGUGGGAUAACCUGCCGAAAGGCAGACUAAUACCGCAUAGUCUUCGAUGACGGCAUCAGAUUUGAAGUAAAGAUUUAUCGGUAAUGGAUGGGGAUGCGUCUGAUUAGCUUGUUGGCGGGGUAACGGCCCACCAAGGCGACGAUCAGUAGGGGUUCUGAGAGGAAGGUCCCCCACAUUGGAACUGAGACACGGUCCAAACUCCUACGGGAGGCAGCAGUGAGGAAUAUUGGUCAAUGGACGGAAGUCUGAACCAGCCAAGUAGCGUGCAGGAUGACGGCCCUAUGGGUUGUAAACUGCUUUUGUAUGGGGAUAAAGUUAGGGACGUGUCCCUAUUUGCAGGUACCAUACGAAUAAGGACCGGCUAAUUCCGUGCCAGCAGCCGCGGUAAUACGGAAGGUCCAGGCGUUAUCCGGAUUUAUUGGGUUUAAAGGGAGCGUAGGCUGGAGAUUAAGUGUGUUGUGAAAUGUAGACGCUCAACGUCUGAAUUGCAGCGCAUACUGGUUUCCCUGAGUACGCACAACGUUGGCGGAAUUCGUCGUGUAGCGGUGAAAUGCUUAGAUAUGACGAAGAACUCCGAUUGCGAAGGCAGCUGACGGGAGCGCAACUGACGCUUAAGCUCGAAGGUGCGGGUAUCAAACAGGAUUAGAUACCCUGGUAGUCCGCACAGUAAACGAUGGAUGCCCGCUGUUGGUACCUGGUAUCAGCGGCUAAGCGAAAGCAUUAAGCAUCCCACCUGGGGAGUACGCCGGCAACGGUGAAACUCAAAGGAAUUGACGGGGGCCCGCACAAGCGGAGGAAC
Molecule: ribosomal RNA, 914 nt
Filed under: uncultured bacterium
Lineage: Bacteria
Description: bacterial SSU rRNA
Rfam family: Bacterial small subunit ribosomal RNA
Source: RNAcentral